This 29-nucleotide non-coding RNA is filed under the name Rattus norvegicus (Norway rat). The record is from RNAcentral. Lineage: Eukaryota; Metazoa; Chordata; Mammalia; Rodentia; Muridae.
UUAUAUAAAGUCAUGGUAAGCAAGCUUCC